CGAGUAGCAAUACUUGCGGCGACCGGCGCAAGGGUGCGUAACGCGUGAGCAACAUGCCCGUAUCAGGGGGAUAAUCCAGGGAGACUUGGUCUAAUACCCCAUAGUAAUUUUGUAAGGCAUCUUAUAAGAUUUAAAGCUUUGGUGGGAUACGGAUUGGCUCGCGUGACAUUAGCUGGAUGGUAAGGUAACGGCUUACCAUGGCUAUGAUGUCUAGGGGUUCUGAGAGGAAGGUCCCCCACACUGGAACUGAGACACGGUCCAGACUCCUACGGGAGGCAGCAGUGAGGAAUAUUGGACAAUGGAUGGAAAUCUGAUCCAGCCAUGCCGCGUGAAAGGAAGAAGGUCCUAUGGAUUGUAAACUUCUUUUGUAUGGGAGCAAUAAGGCCUACGUGUAGGUUGAUGAGAGUACCAUACGAAUAAGCACCGGCUAACUCCGUGCCAGCCGCCGC
This 449-nucleotide ribosomal RNA is filed under the name uncultured bacterium. RNAcentral describes it as "bacterial SSU rRNA". It matches the Rfam family "Bacterial small subunit ribosomal RNA", at positions 73 to 518 of the family's 1533-position model. The record is from RNAcentral.